GACGAACGCUGGCGGCGUGCUUAACACAUGCAAGUCGAACGCUGAAGCUCAGCUUUUGUUGGGUGGAUGAGUGGCGAACGGGUGAGUAACACGUGAGUAACCUGCCCCCUUCUUUGGGAUAACGCCCGGAAACGGGUGCUAAUACUGGAUAUUCACUGGUCUUCGCAUGGGGGUUGGUGGAAAGGGUUUUUCUGGUGGGGGAUGGGCUCGCGGCCUAUCAGCUUGUUGGUGGGGUGAUGGCCUACCAAGGCUUUGACGGGUAGCCGGCCUGAGAGGGUGACCGGUCACAUUGGGACUGAGAUACGGCCCAGACUCCUACGGGAGGCAGCAGUAGGGAAUAUUGCACAAUGGGCGCAAGCCUGAUGCAGCGACGCCGCGUGAGGGAUGGAGGCCUUCGGGUUGUGAACCUCUUUCGCUCAUGGUCAAGCCGCAACAAUGGUUGUGGUGAGGGUAGUGGGUAAAGAAGCGCCGGCUAACUACGUG
This 483-nucleotide ribosomal RNA is filed under the name uncultured bacterium. RNAcentral's name for it is "partial 16S ribosomal RNA". It matches the Rfam family "Bacterial small subunit ribosomal RNA", at positions 28 to 507 of the family's 1533-position model. The record is from RNAcentral.